UGCUGUCUUGACUUGGCUCUGA
RNAcentral lists this microRNA (22 nucleotides) under Oreochromis niloticus (Nile tilapia). RNAcentral's name for it is "oni-miR-10909". Lineage: Eukaryota; Metazoa; Chordata; Actinopteri; Cichliformes; Cichlidae. The record is from miRBase by way of RNAcentral.